GAUGGUGAUGAGAGAACAUUGGAAUCUCGUUCGUCUGAGUGCGUGCUGAGAAAUGGAAAUCUGACUUCA
Molecule: small nucleolar RNA, 69 nt
Organism: Boleophthalmus pectinirostris (great blue-spotted mudskipper)
Lineage: Eukaryota; Metazoa; Chordata; Actinopteri; Gobiiformes; Gobiidae
Product: small nucleolar RNA SNORD30
Exons: 1
Source: RefSeq, a predicted model, not a curated record